RNAcentral lists this ribosomal RNA (415 nucleotides) under uncultured prokaryote. RNAcentral describes it as "bacterial SSU rRNA". It matches the Rfam family "Bacterial small subunit ribosomal RNA", at positions 505 to 918 of the family's 1533-position model. The record is from RNAcentral.
GUGCCAGCCGCCGCGGUAAGACGGAGGGGGCUAGCGUUGUUCGGAAUUACUGGGCGUAAAGAGCGCGUAGGCGGCCAGUCAGGUCCGAUGUGAAAACCCGGGGCUCAACUCCGGGCCUGCAUUGGAAACCGGCUGGCUAGAGUCUGGGAGAGGUGAGUGGAAUUCCUGGUGUAGCGGUGAAAUGCGUAGAUAUCAGGAGGAACACCGGUAGCGAAGGCGGCUCUCUGGAACAGUACUGACGCUGAGGCGCGAAAGCUAGGGGAGCGAACAGGAUUAGAUACCCUGGUAGUCCUAGCCCUAAACGAUGGACACUAGGUGUCGGGGGUGUCGACUCCCCCGGUGCCGUAGCUAACGCAUUAAGUGCCCCGCCUGGGGAGUACGCUCGCAAGGGUGAAACUUAAAUGAAUUGACGGGG